UCUACCUCACCUCCAGUUAUUUAAACCCACUUCAUUCAGUCAUUCCCUGCUGGACCAUAGUUUGUCACAUUCCUGCAUCAACUCAUGACCACUACAGCUUCUCGGACACGACUCUGCCAGUUCCUGUUUGGAUUUUCCAUCUGGACUCACCUUCCCCGUUUGGAUUUCCACCUCUGUUCCUAUUCUUUCUCCAACCUGUGGAUAUUCUGUUUUGUGUUCUACUAUCUCCAGAGUUCCCUAAGUCUGCUACCUAGCCCUUCAGUUUAGUUUCUUCCCAUUUUUGUCAGCUUCUGUGCCUGCAUCUGGGUUCUCUGACCCCUCCUGUAACAGACUCUGUAAUAAAAGACAGCCAGCACUCAUUAAUAACAACUAAUGUCCUGAGAUGCACAGACAGCUGAGUGACUUCAGACACAAACUAAUGGAUGGAGACAUCUUCAUUGGAUUUCAUUCACCGUGAAGCGAAGACGCUCCUCCUGAACAGCUGUGUGCCACUGAGGCUCUGUUGUGAUCCAUCUCAGUGUCGGGAGAGGGACGGACACACAUUAACUUCCCUCUUUAAUUCAGUGAAAGAGGACUGAGGGAGGAGACAAAACACACUGAUGCUUGGCUGAAUCUGGACUGUUGUCAUGGUGAUGGCGCACCCUGACACCCCUCGCUCUCUGCCUGCCACUGAGGUCAGCAGAAGAAAAGAGUAACAGGAGGGAAAUGGAGCACAGAUAGAAUUUUGUGAGAGAAUGUUAAUAAUAAACAGCAGCAUUUUACCACCAUCAA
Molecule: long non-coding RNA, 771 nt
Organism: Amphiprion ocellaris (clown anemonefish)
Lineage: Eukaryota; Metazoa; Chordata; Actinopteri; Pomacentridae
Exons: 2
Source: RefSeq, a predicted model, not a curated record